UACGAAGGGGGCUAGCGUUGUUCGGAAUUACUGGGCGUAAAGCGCACGUAGGCGGACUAUUAAGUCAGGGGUGAAAUCCCGGGGCUCAACCCCGGAACUGCCUUUGAUACUGGUAGUCUCGAGUCCGGAAGAGGUGAGUGGAAUUCCGAGUGUAGAGGUGAAAUUCGUAAAUAUUCGGAGGAACACCAGUGGCGAAGGCGGCUCACUGGUCCGGUACUGACGCUGAGGUGCGAAAGCGUGGGGAGCAAACAGG
RNAcentral lists this ribosomal RNA (253 nucleotides) under uncultured bacterium. Its description in RNAcentral is "partial 16S ribosomal RNA". It matches the Rfam family "Bacterial small subunit ribosomal RNA", at positions 524 to 776 of the family's 1533-position model. The record is from RNAcentral.